Molecule: transfer RNA, 72 nt
Filed under: Cavia porcellus (domestic guinea pig)
Lineage: Eukaryota; Metazoa; Chordata; Mammalia; Rodentia; Caviidae
Rfam family: tRNA
About the family: Transfer RNA (tRNA) molecules are approximately 80 nucleotides in length. Their secondary structure includes four short double-helical elements and three loops (D, anti-codon, and T loops).
Source: Rfam by way of RNAcentral
GAGGAUUUAGCUCAGUGGCACAGCACCUGCCUGGCAAGUAUGAGGUCCUGAGUUCAUUCUCAGUACUCCUCC